This is a non-coding RNA of Paramuricea clavata, 617 nucleotides long. Lineage: Eukaryota; Metazoa; Cnidaria; Anthozoa; Malacalcyonacea; Plexauridae. The record is from the annotation of a GenBank genome assembly.
UGCAAUAUUUCAGAAGCCUCUUUGUUCAACACGCAGAAAACUACAACAUCGAAGGUAAGAAUAUUAGGGAUUUCUAACCAGAUUUUUGUCCUUUUUUUAGUGUAACAGGCAAUUUCUGUUUGUGUUUUAUUUGUCUGUAGAUCGUUGUAAACUACUUAUUCACUAAAUACUCGAAAUGGAUCAAAUUGUGAAUGCUCUUGAACCUUGUAAAGAAUUCGCAAAGGAUUCCAUGAGAUUGGUCAAACGUUGUACGAAACCAGAUCGAAAAGGUUUGUUAUAGCCUUAUAGUUUAAAUCUAAUCUCACAUUAAGCUGAGAAGACUAUUUAUUGUAUAUAUAAUUGUUUUAACUUAUGAAUGAGAAUCAAUUGAACGAUCCCCGAUAAGUUUAUAGCACUUUAUCGAACUGAAAAUCCUUUUUAUUUUUUUUGUGGAAUUAGUCCAGUUCAUGAAUUAAAAUUGUGUUGACCAAUAAAACGGGAUUUAUAUUGUUAAAGAACGAAAUUGUUCUAUACAUUGCUUACAUAAUUACUUACUGGGGAUCUGAGGAUCUCAUUCAUCUCAAUGAACUGUGUCUGUAUUGUAUUGUAUUUUUUUGUAUUAAAAUCAGUAAGACAAG